AUGGUGGCCUCAAGAGCCAGAGGCUGGGUCCAAUUGCUGGCCCUCUGUCAGGGUUCCCAGUCCCCACCUUCCAGCCACUCACAGGCUCCUCAUGGCACCUCCCACCCCUGCAGAUGUCCAUGCAUCCACCCAGCCUUCACACUGCCCUUGAGCGGGUGCUGGGGCUGCAGAGAUGGUCACACCCAGCUUCAGCCCUGGAGAAGCUCAGGUAACUACCCACCUUCUAUUGCAUGCCUGGCGCAUGCUAACCAAGCUUUACCUCUGAGAAGCUCACAGACCAACAUUCCUCUGGAGGAGGGAGCAGGUUUUGAUGAAACACACCCACCAAGAAAAACACUGUGACAGGUUGUGAGGUUGGAAGUUGCAACAGAAGCAUCAAGUUCUAACAGAUCCUGCCCUGUUAAGUGAAGUCCCCAGAACAAGAUGCCGUUUCAACGGAAAUGGAUCUGGGCUUUUAAAACUCUCUACUCACGAUGAGAAUAUAAAAAUAUGGGUCCGGGAGAACAAAGGGAGAGAUUUUGGGGGAUGAUUCCUUGGGAAGAACUGUACCCAGCCCGUUUGCCAGCAUGUUGGGGGGGCAUGAAGAGAUCCCUCCUCCACCUCAUCCAAGUUGCUGUAAAAGACAUGAUUUCAUUCUUUUUUAUGGCUGAGUAGUAUUCCAUGGUAUCUGUAUUUUCUUUAUCCACUCGUCGGUUGAUGGGCACUUAGAUUGGUUCCAUGUCUUUGCAAUUGCCCCCACCUCAAAUUUAGUGGGAGGUGCUUCCUGCCUGUCCCUUUCAGGGUGGACACAGGGGACCUGCUGGCCAGCUCCUGUCUGAGAGGAAUAAAAGUUGCCUGACAGCUGAGCUGGCCGCAUUGACGUGGCCUCUACUUGCAGAGGUGUAUGUCCCAUGGACCCUGUGUGAGCUCAGCACAGUGAGGGGGCCAGCCUUGCUCCAAGGCUCCCCUGUCCUGCAGGGAACAGGACCUGCCUGGGG
This 977-nucleotide long non-coding RNA is filed under the name Pan troglodytes (chimpanzee). RNAcentral's name for it is "lncRNA (ENSPTRG00000053787.1)". Lineage: Eukaryota; Metazoa; Chordata; Mammalia; Primates; Hominidae. The record is from RNAcentral.